AUGUCCGUCAUCAAUGCCUUUUCCGAGCUUUCUGCGUCCAAUUUCCACAUCAUCAACACAGCCAAUGUCGUGCUUCUGCCUAAAAAGGACGAUGCGGAGUCCAUAUCGGAUUUUAGGCCCAUCAGUCUCAUCCAUGUGGUUCCGAAGAUCAUCGCCAAAGCUAUGGCACGACGUCUUAGCCCGAAGAUGAACGACAUUGUUUCCCGCAGUCAGAGCGCUUUCAUCAAGUCUAGAACUAUCCACGAC
RNAcentral lists this ribosomal RNA (246 nucleotides) under Triticum aestivum (bread wheat). Its description in RNAcentral is "partial small subunit ribosomal RNA". The record is from RNAcentral. Lineage: Eukaryota; Viridiplantae; Streptophyta; Magnoliopsida; Poales; Poaceae.